RNAcentral lists this ribosomal RNA (468 nucleotides) under uncultured bacterium. RNAcentral describes it as "partial 16S ribosomal RNA". It matches the Rfam family "Bacterial small subunit ribosomal RNA", at positions 28 to 507 of the family's 1533-position model. The record is from RNAcentral.
GACGAACGCUGGCGGCGUGCUUAACACAUGCAAGUCGAACGGAAAGGCCCUGCUUUUGUGGGGUGCUCGAGUGGCGAAAGGGUGAGUAACACGUGAGUAACCUGCCCUUGACUUUGGGAUAACUUCAGGAAACUGGGGCUAAUACCGGAUAGGAGCUCCUGCUGCAUGGUGGGGGUUGGAAAGUUUCGGCGGUUGGGGAUGGACUCGCGGCUUAUCAGCUUGUUGGUGGGGUAGUGGCUUACCAAGGCUUUGACGGGUAGCCGGCCUGAGAGGGUGACCGGCCACAUUGGGACUGAGAUACGGCCCAGACUCCUACGGGAGGCAGCAGUGGGGAAUAUUACACAAUGGGCGGGAGCCUGAUGCAGCAACGCCGCGUGCGGGAUGACGGCCUUCGGGUUGUAAACCGCUUUCGCCUGUGACGAAGCGUGAGUGACGGUAAUGGGUAAAGAAGCACCGGCUAACUACGUG